UAACGGCGAGUGAAGCGGUAACAGCUCAAAUUUGAAAUCUGGGUCUUUUAAGCUCCGAGUUGUAAUUUGUAGAAGAUGCUUCGGGUGCGGCUCCGGUCUAAGUUCCUUGGAACAGGACGUCAUAGAGGGUGAGAAUCCCGUAUGUGAUCGGGGGCCUGCGCCCAUGUGAAGCUCUUUCGACGAGUCGAGUUGUUUGGGAAUGCAGCUCAAAAUGGGUGGUAUAUUUCAUCUAAAGCUAAAUAUUGGCCAGAGACCGAUAGCGCACAAGUAGAGUGAUCGAAAGAUGAAAAGCACUUUGGAAAGAGAGUUAAACAGUACGUGAAAUUGUUGAAAGGGAAGCGCUUGCAACCAGACUUGGGCGGGGUCGAUCAUCGGGGGUUCUCCCUCGUGCACUCGACCUCGCACAGGCCAGCAUCGGUUCCGGUGGUUGGAUAAAGGCCGUGGGAAUGUAGCUUCUUUCGGGGAGUGUUAUAGCCCACGGUGCAAUGCAGCCUACCGGGACCGAGGACCGCGCUUCGGCUAGGAUGCUGGCGUAAUGGUUGUAAGCGACCCGUCUUGAAACACGGACCAAGGAGUCUAACAUCUAUGCGAGUGUUUGGGUGUCAAACCCAUGCGCGUAAUGAAAGUGAACGGAGGUGAGAACCCUUAAGGGUGCAUCAUCGACCGAUCCUGAUGUCUUCGGAUGGAUUUGAGUAAGAGCAUACCUGUUGGGACCCGAAAGAUGGUGAACUAUGCCUGAAUAGGGUGAAGCCAGAGGAAACUCUGGUGGAGGCUCGCAGCGGUUCUGACGUGCAAAUCGAUCGUCAAAUUUGGGUAUAGGGGCGAAAGACUAAUC
This 835-nucleotide ribosomal RNA is filed under the name Neodermea rossica. RNAcentral describes it as "Leotiomycetes sp. WJL-2020b partial large subunit ribosomal RNA". It matches the Rfam family "Eukaryotic large subunit ribosomal RNA", at positions 84 to 936 of the family's 3401-position model. The record is from RNAcentral. Lineage: Eukaryota; Fungi; Ascomycota; Leotiomycetes; Helotiales; Dermateaceae.